RNAcentral lists this non-coding RNA (119 nucleotides) under unclassified sequences. RNAcentral's name for it is "S15-Methanomicrobia ribosomal protein leader". It matches the Rfam family "S15-Methanomicrobia ribosomal protein leader". The record is from RNAcentral.
AGCACUGUGUGAACGGUGUAAUCAUACGUAAGUCCGACGUGCUGGAUUGCAGAGUUUUUCUGCAGAUCCCUGAACAAUCAGGGGAAGGCACUGCCCGAAAAACCGGGCUCAGGGAUUAC